Molecule: long non-coding RNA, 1049 nt
Organism: Physella acuta
Lineage: Eukaryota; Metazoa; Mollusca; Gastropoda; Physidae
Source: RefSeq, a predicted model, not a curated record
GUUUGUUUUGACAAGUGCCUAGGAUAGUAAAAGUUCAUUGUGUGACAGGAUAUUGUGAGAUGACAUGCGCAGUGUAGGCCAAACGUUAGUGCAGAAUCUAGUAAUGUGUCUUUGGGAACAGGCGCUGAUCCUUUGGACUGAGACCUCCAUCUUGAAUUUAGGAAUUUCAAUAAAAUGUUUCAUGUGCUUGGAUAAUUUAUCUAUCUCAUGGCCUUGAAACAGCACCGACCUACAUAACAGCAUCCCAUUAACGACGAGGUGCUCAUAUUUCAUGUGUCUGGAUAACUUAUCUUUAUUACUGCCAUGAAACAACGCUGAUUUACAUAACAGCAUCACAUUGAUGACGAGGGUUGAGGGUGAUUUGGAUACCGGAACUUUCACCGGAAGUUGGGGAGAACAUUUAUGUGAUGCUGUCGACAGCUACUUUACACGCCAUCAUCGAGUGCACCCCUCAUCAAGUCCACCCAUAAUCGAGUGGACCCAUCAUCGAGUGGACCCAGCAAGUGGACCCAUCAUCAAGUCGACCGAUCAUCGAGCGGGCCCAUCAUCAAGUGGACCCUUCAUAUAGUCUACCCAUCAUCAAGUGGACCCAUCAUCGAGUGGACCCAGCAAGUUGACACAUCAUCAAUUCGACCGAUCAUCAAGUGGACCCAUCAUCAAGUGGACCCUUCAUAUAGUGGACCCAUCAUCGAGUGGACCCAUCAUCAAGUGGACCCAUCAUCUGUUUGACCCAUCAUCGAGUGGACCCAUCAUCAAGUGGACCCAUCAUCGAGUGGACCCAUCGAGUGGACCCAUCAUGGGCAGAUCUCCUGCAAGAGUACUCGGCUUAAGGACUUUAAGAUUGUGCCACCUUUAUUUGACAAAGCGUCUACAGGACCAGUACAAGAAAGCAAAUGUCUCUAUCACCCUUCUGGACCAUUGAAAAAAAGCAGUUGUUUCUAUAUAUAUUCAAUAAUGCAAACAUCAUUUUUUUUUUAAAUCAGUUUCAGAACCUUAGGUCACUAGGAAGACACUGAUUAAAAGUAUCUUAUUUUUAUUUGACUAGCUUC